Molecule: long non-coding RNA, 4941 nt
Organism: Amphiprion ocellaris (clown anemonefish)
Lineage: Eukaryota; Metazoa; Chordata; Actinopteri; Pomacentridae
Source: Ensembl
CUCGUGAACUGUUUAUUUAAUUUAUCUUCAAACUUGUACAAAAACAUCUGAUUGGAUCCUUUUCUGAAAUAUGAAACCAUGAUUGAAGCCAAACUACAAGAAGUGAAAUGUUUGAGGGUGGUUCAAUAAGUUUCCAGCUUUAAAACACUUUGAUUCUCAGGAAGUUGGACUGAAAUGUUCCCCUGAGGAAAGUUCAUCCAAUCAAAGCUUCAACAAACCACAGAUUAACUCAGCUCUGUUGGUGAGAGAUGAUAAAACCUGGUAGAAACGUGGAUGGUGUUCAGUACAAAUCAGUCAAACGUCCACAGAAAAAACCAAAUGAGACACUUAAAGCUCAGAUUUCUGCCCUCAAACAGCUGCAGACGUGUUUGGAUUCAAUAAAUUUAAUUUAUCUGGACGUCUGCAGCCCAAAACUUCUGGUCUACGUUUAAACUCCAAACAUGCUGAAGAAACGUCUGAACAAACUAAACCUGAGAUGUUUAGGGACCAAAUAAUUCUCUAAUGGAACCUCUGGUUUCUGUCCAAAUCAACCUGAAGACCAAAAGAUCAAAGAUUGAGGCUAAAAAAAUCAAAAAUCAUUUAAAUUUAGCUGCAUCUGAUUAGAAAUAGCCUCGUCAUGCAGCGAUACUCGGCUCCCAGUGUUCCUGCAGCACAUCUUGAACAAGUUCAUCUCAUUUCUGGAAAAUUUUAGAGUCAUUUUGGACAGUUUUGAGUUGUUUUGAACAAGUUUUUGUUAAAAAUACGAAGUAAUUUUGGACAAAUUUGGAGUUAUGUUGAUUAAUUUUUGUUUAUUUUAGACAAACAUUGAAUCAUCAAAUUAUUGUCCUUUUGGUAAAUUUACUGUCUUUCUUCAAAAUGUUGUGUUUCUGUAAUUUCUUCUGCAGGGCUGGACUGUCAGUGAACACUUCUACUGUCUGUAGAGUUAUCUGACAGUUUUAAGUGAGUUUCGACAAUUUAGAAUUUUUGUUAAAAAUGUUGAGUGAUUUUUGGACAAUUUUUUUGCAGUUUUGGACACAUUUUAGUCUGUCAUGUUGGGAAUUAUUAUUGUUAUUAUUUUACAUUAUUUAUUAUUUUAUGUACAUCAUAAAUUCCUCCCAGAGUUGGACUGCCGAGACAGACUUCUGCUGAAGGGUUCGUUUUUUGGAUAAAUUCUGGCAAAUUUUGGACAAAUUCUUGGUUAUUUUGGUCAAAUUUGAAUCAGUUUGAACAGGGUUUUGUUGUUUUUGUGAAAAAUGUAAACUUAAAAAAAACUGGCUAAUUUUCGAAUAAUUUGGAACAAUUUUGGACAAACAUUUGGAAUUUUUGACAAAUUUUUGUUGUCAUUUUUUCCAACAAUUAUGUGAUCUGGCAUCAUGAAAUCUGAGGAUUUGAACUGGAGUUCUACUGUAACGUCCCGAGGCUUUUAAGAGAAAACAGUCGACACAGUUGACCUGAACUGUGGAUUUUGAAGCUUUAUUCAUCCACAAUUACACAUUUGUCAUUCUCCACCUGUGCUGCUGGCCAGAUUUGUCUCAUCGCAGCUUCUUUCUCUUUCCCAAAAGUGAUUCAGAUAAUAGCAGACAGUGUUUAACGUGAACAGAGCAGGACUUCAUAGGGAAGUGUUGCAGGAGCACUGGGAGCCGAGCAUCGCUGCACAACGUCACUACUUUAACAGAGAUGACGGAUAAAUUUAAAUCUAGUUUUUGAUGUUAGAAAUCAUCAUCCCAGAGAUCAACAUUCAUUUUAGUUUCUCUUCUUUCGUGCAGACUUGUUUAGUUGUAGAGGCACGUGAUGUCAUAAUCAGGAAUCAAGCGUAGGUGUCUACAUGUCGACCGUGACAAUAGUUUCAAAAAGCUCCAUUUUCAGGAACAUACAACCACAUUUCUAUGUUGACGAAAGGUCAAAAUGUCAAUAAAAUUUUGUCUCUUCAAGCUGAAAUAAUCAGAAACCAGCAGGUAUCCAUAAAAAACUCUAAAUCUAAAGCACCGUUGUGGUUCAGAAAGCGUUAGCAUGAAUUUAGCGUGAGCAUCAUUUCUUUAAAGUUUGGACAAACAUGUUAGUUUUUUUUUUUUUUUUAACUAAAGAUCCCAUUAAAUGAUAAAUACAGUCACUUUAAUGGUGUAAUAAGGCAGGCAGGGGUUCAGAUUAAACACUAAAUACUUUAAAUGUCCAAAAUAAAUGGCAGUUAAAGUCCUACAGGAGCGUAAAGUUAGCACAUUAGCUACAUUAGCACAGUUAGCAGUUUAAGGCAACAAAGGCAGGAUUUAAAUCUUCUACUCUGCUUUAAAAAACUUUUUACAUGACAAUGUGACUUCUGGCAGAUUUUUCAGCCCCCCAAAAUGAGCUUUUAGCAAUUUAUCAGUAAAAAACUGUAAAUCCUUUCAAAUAUUUAGCCUCACAACCUAAUAAACCUUCACUUCCUGGAGAAACAAGCAGAAGGGAAGAAAGUUUGACGACUUAAAUGUUUUCAUAAACAACCAAAUCAGACAUUUUCUCUUUAGUUAAUAGAUUCUGCUGCAGUUUAGUGAUGUUUAAGGCAUGCAUGAAGAUAAGUCUGAGUAAAUACAGAUUCAGAAACAUCUAACGUCCAGUUAUUUUUAUACUGCACUGAUUUAAGAGUCAGAAACUGGAACUAAAACGUACUAAAGGAGGAGUUUAUUCAUGUAUAUCCGACAUAAUAUGAUCAAAUAUCAAUCUGGUUUUAGUGCAGUUCAGAUUUUUAGCUUUGUUUUCCGCUUUAUUUAGCUUUUAGUCUGUAAAAAUAUCAUUAAACUGAUAAUUAAAUCAGCAUGUUUUAGCUAAUAAACCUCCAGUUUUCAUGUAUUACCGGUAGUUGUUUUUAGGUGCUCGUACUUUAAUAACUGUCUGGUUUAUUCCAGCUGUUGAUAGAUUUACAACUUGUUCUUUUCAUUUUUCUUGUCUUUAUGCUCAAACUGUACAGAUUUGGACCCAGCAGCUGGUUUUAAAAACUGCCAAAAUGUUGUUUUUUUAUGGCGAGAAUUACUGUGAAAUGCAAAAAUCUGCUUGUCUGAGACGUUGUUUGUAUUUCUAGUAUAUAAACUGUGGAAGGUAGUGAGUCGUUCUUGGUCUUUUUUCUUUUAAAAAAAAUGCUAACAUGAUUAGAAUAUUGCAGCUUGAAGUCAGAUAAUCUUCCCUAGAAAGCACCAGAGAAUGAAUCUGUACAAAAACAAAACAUAAAGGUGUAAAUAUAAGAUUAUUACACUUAAUUAGAGGUUGCAGUGUAUUGAGUUUAGGAGUUUAUUAAACCAGGUGUGAGGAAAAAAAACACAAAAAAAACAAACAAACAUUUUUUUCAGGAAUAUGAAGUGACAAACGGUAGAAAAAACUCAGUUGUCUGAAUUUACUUGAAAAAUACUCCUUUCUUCUUUAAAAAUGCCUUUUAAAGUGUUUUUUUGCCAUUAGAAUUGAAAAAAGCAGCCGUUUAAACAGGUUUAAUUUUUAAAUGUGAGCUUAUUUUGUUGUUGGUGACAUCAGUAGAGAUGGAAAUUAAAUCUAGAAACUUUAUAAUCCUGCAGAUUUCUUUAAAAAAAACCAACAUGAUGAGAUUUUUUCAGCUUUAUCAAACAGAAACUAAAGUUUUUUGUCUUGAUGCUGCUACAGGAACAUGAAAAGUGACAUAAACAAUACAGAAAACCUGGAAAAAUGUCAGAAUUUACUUGAAAAAUGCUCCUUCCUUCUUAAAAAAAAAAAAAAAAAAAGCCUUUUUUGGUGAUUUUUUAAAAUCAAGACAAAGAAACUUGUGUUGCACCGAAACAAUCCUGUACCCUGAGUUUAUUUUUUGAGUUUAUUUUUUAAAUGUGAGCUUAUUUUGUUGUUGGCGACAUGGACUGAGAUGGAAAUUAAAUCUAGAAACUUUAUAAUCCUGCACAUUUCUUUCAAAAAAAAAAACAACAAAAUGUGAUUUUUUUUCAGCUUUAUCUAAUAAAAAAAUAAAGCUUUUUGUCUUGAUGCUGCUACAGAAAUAUGAAAAGUGACAUAAACAGUAGAAAAAACUCCUAUAAUUGUCUGAAUUUACUUGAAAAAUACUCCUUUCUUCAUAAAACACCCUUUUAGGUGAUUUUUUGUCAUCAGAAUUGAAAAAGCAGGCGUUUAAACAGGAGUUGUACUAAAACAAUCCUGUUUCCUGAGUUUAUUUUUUAAAUGUGAGCUUAUUUUGUUGUUGGCGACGUGGACAGAGAUGGAAAUUAAAUCUAGAAACUUUAUAAUCCUGCAGAUUUCUGUCAGAUUCUGCCGUUUGAGUCGGACUUUAGCAGUUUCCAACCUCGGUCCUGACUCUAGACGGUUUCUGGAUGGUUUCAGGUCGGCGGUGGUCCGUUGACGUAUCUCAGCAUCAGGUGGAAGCUGCGCUGCAUCCCGUUGCUACGGUGACAUGGAGGAUCCAGGAAGCUCCAGAUCAGACCGGCCAGCAGGACCAGGAGGACGGAGAGGAGGGCCGGAGGGAACCGGGAGGACCGGGGCCUCCUGGAGGAAACAGGAAGUGGAGGAGGAGUCGGUGCCCACAAGGUCGGCCGUUCAUUCUGAGUUUGGGAGUGUGACCGAGUGAAUUCCUGCAGAUUCAGACCAUUUGAGCUCAUUUUUUCCACCUCCUCCUGCCUGACUUUUGCAGAAACAACUCCAGAGAGUUUUAGUCUGCCUGGCUGGGAAUCACUGCUCUGAGGACAUAAUUGUCGGCGUCACUGACAGUAAAGCGAAGAUCAGGAAGCCAUGAAUAUUUCAUGUUAAUGCCACCUGCUGCUCGCUGCAUAGAUUUGCAUCGGGAUAAAGUCAGAGCUGCAGGAGACGAAUCUCCUCCUAAAAUCUGCAGUCGGUUUAAGAAGAGGAAUUUGUAAGAAGUCCUGCAGCAGAUGAUCCCUCUGCAGUUUAAUCAUCAAUGAGCCGUCGUUAUUCACAACCACACAUUUAAUCAAACCUGCAGCGACAGAAAAACACCUUUAAAUAAAU